GUUAAUGUAGCAAAACUUGGCCAUGCAAAAGACCUAAACCCUUUUAAUGGGGUUCAAAUCCCCCCACUAACU
This 72-nucleotide transfer RNA is filed under the name Synapturanus sp. QCAZ 59998. RNAcentral describes it as "tRNA-Leu". It matches the Rfam family "tRNA". Rfam says of the family: Transfer RNA (tRNA) molecules are approximately 80 nucleotides in length. Their secondary structure includes four short double-helical elements and three loops (D, anti-codon, and T loops). The record is from RNAcentral. Lineage: Eukaryota; Metazoa; Chordata; Amphibia; Anura; Microhylidae.